GCCCGGGUCGCCUAGACCGGUAGGGCGCGGCGCUGGAGACGCCGUGGCUGCAAGGCCUCGGGAGUUCAAAUCUCCCCCCGGGCG
RNAcentral lists this transfer RNA (84 nucleotides) under Thermoplasmata archaeon. Its description in RNAcentral is "tRNA-Ser". It matches the Rfam family "tRNA". Rfam says of the family: Transfer RNA (tRNA) molecules are approximately 80 nucleotides in length. Their secondary structure includes four short double-helical elements and three loops (D, anti-codon, and T loops). The record is from RNAcentral. Lineage: Archaea; Methanobacteriati; Thermoplasmatota; Thermoplasmata. RNAcentral also lists the same sequence under 1 other name.